Molecule: ribosomal RNA, 468 nt
Filed under: uncultured bacterium
Lineage: Bacteria
Description: partial 16S ribosomal RNA
Rfam family: Bacterial small subunit ribosomal RNA
Source: RNAcentral
GACGAACGCCGGCGGCGUGCUUAACACGUGCAAGUCGAACGGAAAGGCCCUGCUUUUGUGGGGUGCUCGAGUGGCGAACGGGUGAGUAACACGUGAGUAACCUGCCCUUGACUUUGGGAUAACUUCAGGAAACUGGGGCUAAUACCGGAUAGGAGCUCCUGCUGCAUGGUGGGGGUUGGAAAGUUUCGGCGGUUGGGGAUGGACACGCGGCUUAUCAGCUUGUUGGUGGGGUAGUGGCUUACCAAGGCUUUGACGGGUAGCCGGCCUGAGAGGGUGACCGGCCACAUUGGGACUGAGAUACGGCCCAGACUCCUACGGGAGGCAGCAGUGGGGAAUAUUGCACAAUGGGCGGAAGCCUGAUGCAGCAACGCCGCGUGCGGGAUGACGGCCUUCGGGUUGUAAACCGCUUUCGCCUGUGACGAAGCGUGAGUGACGGUAAUGGGUAAAGAAGCACCGGCUAACUACGUG